This 74-nucleotide transfer RNA is filed under the name Marmota monax (woodchuck). RNAcentral describes it as "tRNA.Leu". It matches the Rfam family "tRNA". Rfam says of the family: Transfer RNA (tRNA) molecules are approximately 80 nucleotides in length. Their secondary structure includes four short double-helical elements and three loops (D, anti-codon, and T loops). Lineage: Eukaryota; Metazoa; Chordata; Mammalia; Rodentia; Sciuridae. The record is from RNAcentral.
UGUGGAUGUAGCUCAGUCGGCAGAGUGCUUGCCUCAAAUGCACAAGACCUUGGGUUCAAUAUCCAGCACCAUAG